This is a non-coding RNA of Rattus norvegicus (Norway rat), 70 nucleotides long. NCBI's taxonomy places the organism in Eukaryota, Metazoa, Chordata, Mammalia, Rodentia, Muridae. The record is from Rfam.
AAAUCAAAAUCCAACCCCAGCAAUAGUAAUGGGGUGGAUUCUAGAAGAAGGGAGGAUUCUACCUCCUGGC